Long non-coding RNA from Pan troglodytes (chimpanzee), 3380 nucleotides. RefSeq lists it as uncharacterized. The transcript has 8 exons. NCBI's taxonomy places the organism in Eukaryota, Metazoa, Chordata, Mammalia, Primates, Hominidae. The record is from RefSeq and is a predicted model, not a curated record.
CCGCCCCGCCCCCUUCUCUUCUUUCAACGAAGUUUCACUCUUGUCGCACAGGCUGGAGUGCGCUGGUCUGAUCUUAGCUUACUGCAGCCUCCACCUCCCAGGUUUAAGUGAUUCUCCUGCCUCAGCCUCCCAAGUAGCUGGGACUACAGGCACCUGCCACCACGCCCAGCUAGUAGAGACGGUUUUCGCCAUGUUGGCCAGGCUGGUCUUGAACUGACCUCAACUGACCAGCCCACCUCGGCCUCCCAAAGUGCUGGGGUUACAGGCCUGAGCCACCGGGUCCGGCCGACAACCGCGUUUCUACUGUGUCCCCACAUGGCCUUUUCUCAGUGUGUGAAAAUCCCUAGUGUCUUUCUUUUCCAAUUAUUCUAUAAUGAAUAUGUAUUUAUAACAAAAAUAAACCUUUUUUUAGAAAAGAACAUAUUUUUCCAAAUAUACAAUGAUGUGAAAAAUUUAUUUUGUGUCAUGCUUACAAAAACAGAACAUAAAAUUUUAGGAAUAGUAUGAUUUCUACAAAUGUUAAAUAAAAACAUAGAGAAAGGGCCAGGCACAGUGGCUCAUGCCUGUAAUCCCAGCACUUUGGGAGGCCGAGGCGGGUGGAUCACUUGAGGUCAGGAAUUUGAGACCAGCCUGGCCAACAUGGUGGAACCCCAUCUCUACCAAAAAUACAAAAAUUAGCCAGACAUGGUGGCGUGUACCUGUAGUCCCACCUACUGGAGAGGCUGAGGCAGGAGAAUCGCUUGAACUGGGAGGUGGAGGCUGCAGGGAGCUGAGAUCGCACCACUGCACUCCAGCCUGGGCCACAGAGCCAGACUCUGUCUGAAAAAAAAAAAAAAAAAGGCAUUUAAAAAAAGGAAAUUACACUAAGAUAUUUGCCGUGCCUGUCUCUGGGUGGGACUGUAGAUGAUUUUUUUUCUCUUUUUACUGUUCUGUAUUUUCUUUCUUUUUUUUUUUUUUAACUAAACCUGAAUGAUUUUUAUAAUAGAAAUGUUUAAUUAAAGAAACCUCAGACAAUAGGCAAAGUCCAGAUAGGAAAAAGCCAACAUUAAUGCAGGUGGUUUUCCAAAACCAAUGUUCUGUGGUUGGGAAGCGGGGGCCAUUGCUAGAGCCUCUCUUACCCCCAGCCCCGUGUGCUCAUCAGCCCUCGGAGAGCGUAAAAACUGCCCUUUCACACGCCACCAACCCAGUCUUUCCCAGUCUUCAUUUCCCUAACUGCUCCCUGCUCCGUGAAAAUCUCCAUUCCGGGUGACGUUAUGUCCUCCUUCCGCCCACAUCAGGGCUAUUUGUAUUUACACAGCUGUUUACUCGCUUAUUCUCGGCUCUCCACCUUGUGGUGCACACUCCACGGAGGCAGGGACCUUGUCAAGCUUGUGCUCUGUUCUCAAACGCCCGGAGGAGUAACGGCUCUGUAACUAUUUGUUGAAUGAAAGAAAUAACCUAUGAGAAUUCCUAUCAUCAUCUGCUUUUCAUAGACUUUUUCAGGAAAUGAGGCUCAGAGAAGGAAGCACGUCUCCCAGGGUCACACAGCCUGGAAGUGAAGGAGCGGAGAUUUAAACGCAGAUGGAGCCUUACUCUGUCGCCAGGCUGGGGUGCAGUGGCGCGAUCUCGGCUUACUGCAAGCUCCGCCUCGUGGAUUCAAGCAAUUCUUCUGCCUCCGCCUCCCAGGUAGCUGGGAUUACAGAUGAUCUGCCUGCCUCGGCCUCCCAAAGUGCUGGGAUUACAGGCAUGAGCCACGGUGUCCGGCCGCAUCCCUGCUUCUUAAGCCUCUUCCUCUGCAGUCCAUCCUGAUUACUAACGAAUGGCCGAGAAGCACGACUUUCAUCCAGCCACUCCCAGCCUCAGAGCCUUCACCAGCUCCUUCUCGCUGCGGGAUAAAGUACAGCUCCUCCGCCAGCCCGGCGCGCAGCGGGCCUCACCUCUCCUGCCCGGCCCUCUCAAUUGUCCCCUGCCCGGCCCUCUCAAUUGUCCCCUGCCCGGCCCUCUCAAUUGUCCCCUGCCCGGCCCUCUCAAUUGUCCCCUGCUCUUCCACCAGGAUCCUUGAAUCCUGCCAGACCUCGCUCCCCUGGGCCUGGGGCGCCCCCGAACUCAUCCUCGCAGCUUCCCUGUCCCAGGAGGGCCCGCUGGCCAAAUCCUCCCCACUCUGCCUGCGGCGAGGCUUGCUGGACUAGCAGACUCAGAAUGGCCUGUUCUGAACAGCCUUGGGGUUUCCGUUUGCACAUUCUGAAGCAAAGCAAUGAGGUUCCUGGAACUGGAUGUAGCAGCCACCUACUGCCACUAACCACAGAGUGGCCACCAGGCAUCUCCGGACACUGGCAGUUGGCAACCCCUCUGGUUCAGAUCAUCUGAAAUGAAGCCCUACACAGCCCAAGGACACGCCCACGUCUGCGACAGAACGCACACUGAGAGCUUCCUGUUGCCUGGGAAACGCGUUAAAUGUGCUACAGAGACACAGACUUGUAUCCAACAUUUCAGAGGUAGUCAGUAUGCAGCAGGAAAACAAAAUAAAACGCAGGCUGAAAUGGGUGGGAUCCAAGGAAUCAAAGCAGUAGAUGGACGACCAGGAGCACCCCAGGUUAUCUUCAGGAAACAGAGCGACAAAACGCAAAGAGACAGGAUUUCGCCAUGUUGCUCAGACACUGGUCUCGAACUCCAGGACUCAAACUGGAACUGGGCUUAAACUCCUGGACUCCCGCCUCAGCCUCCCAAAGUGCUGGGAUUACAGGCGCCCGGCCUCAGGGCCCUUUUCUUAGAGGGAGUGGAGAACUGGCCCAGGUGGGAGAGUAAGACAAGCUGCCACCUAGCCGGGCUGUGCCUGGCUGCCGUGCCUGAAGAGCCCACCGUGGAUUCUCUCCAUGCUGGUCGGGCAGCAGCCGAGGGACUGACCAGAGAGGAAGAGCAGGAUCCCAGAGGAAGGGACAGUGAAAGCAUUAAGAUAAGCAGCAUUCCACUAUAAAUCUUACACAAAAUGCCACAUCCACUGAUCACACGACCUUGAAAAAUGAAGAUAGGCAGCGUCGCACUUUCAAUCUUGUACUUCAGGGAAUGAACUCCAUUGCCUUUGUGUGCACGAAGCCGGAAGCACGACCACUCUUCACCCUCGGCCUCAUUACAACACCAAGACCUCUGCCUCGGCGCGGGAGCUCUCACCUGGAAUCCCAGCACCUUGGGAGGCCGAAGCGGACGGAUCACCUGAGGUGUCAGGAGUUUGAGACCAGCCUGGCCAACAAGGGACGCUCACCUACCUCAUGAAUUACGCGUGUCGCCCUCCUCAAGACGCCACAACGCACUCCCCUGGGGAGCCAGCUGGAGACCUCUCCCUGCGGUGCUGUCUCCUCCGUGGUGGAACGGAAGCCCCUAAUAAAGCCUUGUCUGGGAAAUUU